GGGUUUUGAGUUGGUUACAAUUUAUGAUUUGCAAUUAUAAGAGAUAUAAAUAUAAAAUCCU
This 61-nucleotide transfer RNA is filed under the name Metacrangonyx sp. 3 ssp. 1 MDMBR-2012. RNAcentral describes it as "transfer RNA Alanine". Lineage: Eukaryota; Metazoa; Arthropoda; Malacostraca; Amphipoda; Metacrangonyctidae. The record is from RNAcentral.